UUGGAGGGCAAGUCUGGUGCCAGCAGCCGCGGUAAUUCCAGCUCCAAUAGCGUAUAUUAAAGUUGUUGCAGUUAAGAAGCUCGUAGUUGAAUUUCGGGAUUAGUACGUCGGUCGUGCCUUAGGUACGUACUGGUGUUACUGGUUCCUACCUUCUGACGAACCAUCAUGUCAUUAAUUUGGUGUGGUGGGGAAUCAGGACUGUUACUUUGAAAAAAUUAGAGUGUUUAAAGCAGGCUCGCGCUUGAAUACAUUAGCAUGGAAUAAUGAAAUAGGACGUUGAUCCUAUUUUGUUGGUUUCUAGGAUUGACGUAAUGAUUAAUAGGGAUAGUUGGGGGCAUUAGUAUUCAAUUGUCAGAGGUGAAAUUCUUGGAUUUAUUGAAGACUAACUACUGCGAAAGCAUUUGCCAAGGAUGUUUUCAUUAAUCAAGAACGAAAGUUAGGGGAUCGAAGACGAUCAGAUACCGUCGUAGUCUUAACCAUAAACUAUGCCGACUAGGGAUCGGAUGAUGUUAUUUUUAAUGACUCAUUCGGCGCCUUACGGGAAAC
This 546-nucleotide ribosomal RNA is filed under the name uncultured Glomus. RNAcentral's name for it is "SSU rRNA". It matches the Rfam family "Eukaryotic small subunit ribosomal RNA", at positions 548 to 1098 of the family's 1831-position model. Lineage: Eukaryota; Fungi; Glomeromycota; Glomeromycetes; Glomerales; Glomeraceae. The record is from RNAcentral.